UACGAGGGGGGCGAGCGUUGUUCGGAAUUAUUGGGCGUAAAGGGCGCGUAGGCGGUGCGGUAAGUCACCUGUGAAACCUCUGGGCUUAACUCAGAGCCUGCAGGCGAAACUGCCGUGCUGGAGUGUGGGAGAGGUGCGUGGAAUUCCCGGUGUAGCGGUGAAAUGCGUAGAUAUCAGGAGGAACACCGGUGGCGAAGGCGGCUACCUGGACAGAAACUGACGCUGAGGCGCGAAAGCUAGGGGAGCAAACAGG
This 253-nucleotide ribosomal RNA is filed under the name uncultured prokaryote. RNAcentral describes it as "partial 16S ribosomal RNA". It matches the Rfam family "Bacterial small subunit ribosomal RNA", at positions 524 to 776 of the family's 1533-position model. The record is from RNAcentral.